Molecule: ribosomal RNA, 253 nt
Filed under: uncultured bacterium
Lineage: Bacteria
Description: partial 16S ribosomal RNA
Rfam family: Bacterial small subunit ribosomal RNA
Source: RNAcentral
UACGGGGGGGGCAAGCGUUGUUCGGAAUUACUGGGCGUAAAGGGCUCGUAGGCGGCCAACUAAGUCAGACGUGAAAUCCCUCGGCUUAACCGGGGAACUGCAUCUGAUACUGGAUGGCUUGAGUUCGGGAGAGGGAUGCGGAAUUCCAGGUGUAGCGGUGAAAUGCGUAGAUAUCUGGAGGAACACCGGUGGCGAAGGCGGCAUCCUGGACCAACACUGACGCUGAUGAGCGAAAGCCAGGGGAGCAAACGGG